RNAcentral lists this ribosomal RNA (497 nucleotides) under uncultured bacterium. RNAcentral's name for it is "partial 16S ribosomal RNA". It matches the Rfam family "Bacterial small subunit ribosomal RNA", at positions 28 to 507 of the family's 1533-position model. The record is from RNAcentral.
GACGAACGCUGGCGGCGUGCCUAAUACAUGCAAGUUGAGCGCUGAAGGUUGGUACUUGUACCAACUGGAUGAGCAGCGCACGGGUGAGUAACGCGUGGGGAAUCUGCCUUUGAGCGGGGGACAACAUUUGGAAACGAAUGCUAAUACCGCAUAAAAACUUUAAACACAAGUUUUAAGUUUGAAAGAUGCAAUUGCAUCACUCAAAGAUGAUCCCGCGUUGUAUUAGCUAGUUGGUGAGGUAAAGGCUCACCAAGGCGAUGAUACAUAGCCGACCUGAGAGGGUGGUCGGCCACACUGGGACUGUGACACGGCCCAAACGCCUACAGGAGGCAGCAGUAGGGAAUCGUCGGCAAUGGACGAAAGUCUGACCGAGAAACGCCGCGGGAGGGAAGAAGGUUGUCGGAUCGUAAAACUCUGUUGGUAGAGAAGAACGUUGGUGAGAGUGGAAAGCUCAUCAAGUGACGGUAACUACCCAGAAAGGGACGGCUAACUACGUG